Molecule: long non-coding RNA, 1406 nt
Filed under: Numida meleagris (helmeted guineafowl)
Lineage: Eukaryota; Metazoa; Chordata; Aves; Galliformes; Numididae
Description: lncRNA (ENSNMEG00000017294.1)
Source: RNAcentral
GUUUAUCUGAGUUCAAAGUACAGAGGAGUCACAUGGCCCUUACCCGGCCAGAGCCUUGAAGUUCUUGUGCAGUCGUAGGAUUUUAAAAACAAGGAGCAAGGGAAGCGAGGGAAGAAAGAACUGUGCAAAACUGCUAAGGAACGCUUCCACACAGACCGUGUGAAGCCAUACAGCCAGCAGCCUGCACUGAGUUAGCACGUGCUCAGCUGGCUGUACUGCAGAGCACUGCACUCAGCCCCACAGCACAGCCCGGGCACCCUGUGUUCUGCACCACACCGGAAAGCUUAGCAAGGGUUUAGCUGCUGAGUUUGGAACGGUUCCUACUUGGCUUCGUGAAAAAUUCAGACCUCUGCAAACUGUUCCCACCUGUCUUGUCCUGCCUCAAAGCACCUUAAAUUAUCCUCUCACUUUCGGAGAUUUUUCCGCAGUUCCAGAGCUUUGUUUUGUUUCCGUUUCUCUCUCUUUAUAUCAGAAAUAAGUAUUUUUUUUUCCCUUGUCCCUCUGUUCGGAGGUCACAUCUCAAACCUUCCAUCCGUGGAGAUGAUGCUUCUGAUAGCAAACAACGUGCUGCAUGUCAGCUGGCCUUCCACGUCUGUCACGCUGGCACACAGAUCAGGCCAGGGGAUGUGCAGAGUCUCAAGUCUCCAUUUAAUAGUCUGCUGAUUUUCCAGGAGUUAGGAGGAACUCGGCACGUUAGUGACCUCUGCUCCUUUCUCAGCUGGUUUCUGUGGGUUCACGUUGAACAACGUCCUUAAACCACAUCCAGGGACAGUCAUAGAAUAUCUCAUGUUGGAAAGGGCCCACAAGGAUCACCGGGUCAGAGAACACUGAAGUGUCCAAGGUAAUCCUGCCUUGUUUGUGUGGCUUGCACUCUCACUUUCUUCCUGCACAUCGCUGAUAGUCUCAUCGCUUUUUCCCUUCUGCCUUGGCUUCAUCUGCAGCAGCGCAAACGAUCUGGUGCUCUAAAUCACCACUACCUCAGGAAAACUCACAAUUUUGACUGGUUUUUGUACAGUUCUAGCUCAUGACAGUGUUGUUACUGAUUUUCUGUUGUAAAGAGGAAACAGUUCAUUUCAUAACAGUAAGGAAGCUGAGCUUGCUUCCUCUUUUUGCCAGCACAGGUGAGAGGAAGGAUGGCAUCCAUGCUGAUGAGAUUUGCGUGGAUGUAAGAGGUGCCUGAUCCUGCAGUGUGAAGCUUGAUGUUACACAUUUGUCAUCUGCCUCCUGCUUCUCUGGGUGUCCAGUUCUCCCUGUCCUGUAUGAUUUUGUCUUCCUGGCAACACCACGCUCCUCUUAACCUCUCCAAGGCUUUUGGAGUACUUUAACUUUCAAAGAAACCUAGCUGUUUUCUGAAGAAUGCUGAUCCACGGUAUCCUGCUGUCAUCAUCUUCUGACUUUAUCUUUCA